UCUGGUAAUGAUGGCAGAGAGGUCACACCCGUUCCCAUACCGAACACGGAAGUUAAGCUCUCUAGCGCCGA
RNAcentral lists this ribosomal RNA (71 nucleotides) under Bacillus anthracis (anthrax bacterium). The record is from RNAcentral. Lineage: Bacteria; Bacillati; Bacillota; Bacilli; Caryophanales; Bacillaceae. RNAcentral also lists the same sequence under 6 other names.